Molecule: ribosomal RNA, 3184 nt
Filed under: Mycobacterium tuberculosis
Lineage: Bacteria; Bacillati; Actinomycetota; Actinomycetes; Mycobacteriales; Mycobacteriaceae
Description: 23S ribosomal RNA
Rfam family: Bacterial large subunit ribosomal RNA
Source: RNAcentral
UUGUAAGUGUCUAAGGGCGCAUGGUGGAUGCCUUGGCAUCGAGAGCCGAUGAAGGACGUGGGAGGCUGCGAUAUGCCUCGGGGAGCUGUCAACCGAGCGUGGAUCCGAGGAUUUCCGAAUGGGGAAACCCAGCACGAGUGAUGUCGUGCUACCCGCAUCUGAAUAUAUAGGGUGCGGGAGGGAACGCGGGGAAGUGAAACAUCUCAGUACCCGUAGGAGGAGAAAACAAUUGUGAUUCCGCAAGUAGUGGCGAGCGAACGCGGAACAGGCUAAACCGCACGCAUGGGUAACCGGGUAGGGGUUGUGUGUGCGGGGUUGUGGGAGGAUAUGUCUCAGCGCUACCCGGCUGAGAGGCAGUCAGAAAGUGUCGUGGUUAGCGGAAGUGGCCUGGGAUGGUCUGCCGUAGACGGUGAGAGCCCGGUACGCGAAAACCCGGCACCUGCCUAGUAUCAAUUCCCGAGUAGCAGCGGGCCCGUGGAAUCCGCUGUGAAUCCGCCGGGACCACCCGGUAAGCCUAAAUACUCCUCGAUGACCGAUAGCGGAUUAGUACCGUGAGGGAAUGGUGAAAAGUACCCCGGGAGGGGAGUGAAAGAGUACCUGAAACCGUGUGCCUACAAUCCGUCAGAGCCUCCUUUUCCUCUCCGGAGGAGGGUGGUGAUGGCGUGCCUUUUGAAGAAUGAGCCUGCGAGUCAGGGACAUGUCGCAAGGUUAACCCGUGUGGGGUAGCCGCAGCGAAAGCGAGUCUGAAUAGGGCGACCCACACGCGCAUACGCGCGUGUGAAUAGUGGCGUGUUCUGGACCCGAAGCGGAGUGAUCUACCCAUGGCCAGGGUGAAGCGCGGGUAAGACCGCGUGGAGGCCCGAACCCACUUAGGUUGAAGACUGAGGGGAUGAGCUGUGGGUAGGGGUGAAAGGCCAAUCAAACUCCGUGAUAGCUGGUUCUCCCCGAAAUGCAUUUAGGUGCAGCGUUGCGUGGUUCACCGCGGAGGUAGAGCUACUGGAUGGCCGAUGGGCCCUACUAGGUUACUGACGUCAGCCAAACUCCGAAUGCCGUGGUGUAAAGCGUGGCAGUGAGACGGCGGGGGAUAAGCUCCGUACGUCGAAAGGGAAACAGCCCAGAUCGCCGGCUAAGGCCCCCAAGCGUGUGCUAAGUGGGAAAGGAUGUGCAGUCGCAAAGACAACCAGGAGGUUGGCUUAGAAGCAGCCACCCUUGAAAGAGUGCGUAAUAGCUCACUGGUCAAGUGAUUGUGCGCCGAUAAUGUAGCGGGGCUCAAGCACACCGCCGAAGCCGCGGCACAUCCACCUUGUGGUGGGUGUGGGUAGGGGAGCGUCCCUCAUUCAGCGAAGCCACCGGGUGACCGGUGGUGGAGGGUGGGGGAGUGAGAAUGCAGGCAUGAGUAGCGACAAGGCAAGUGAGAACCUUGCCCGCCGAAAGNAUGAGUAGCGACAAGGCAAGUGAGAACCUUGCCCGCCGAAAGACCAAGGGUUCCUGGGCCAGGCCAGUCCGCCCAGGGUGAGUCGGGACCUAAGGCGAGGCCGACAGGCGUAGUCGAUGGACAACGGGUUGAUAUUCCCGUACCCGUGUGUGGGCGCCCGUGACGAAUCAGCGGUACUAACCACCCAAAACCGGAUCGAUCACUCCCCUUCGGGGGUGUGGAGUUCUGGGGCUGCGUGGGAACUUCGCUGGUAGUAGUCAAGCGAAGGGGUGACGCAGGAAGGUAGCCGUACCAGUCAGUGGUAACACUGGGGCAAGCCGGUAGGGAGAGCGAUAGGCAAAUCCGUCGCUCACUAAUCCUGAGAGGUGACGCAUAGCCGGUUGAGGCGAAUUCGGUGAUCCUCUGCUGCCAAGAAAAGCCUCUAGCGAGCACACACACGGCCCGUACCCCAAACCGACACAGGUGGUCAGGUAGAGCAUACCAAGGCGUACGAGAUAACUAUGGUUAAGGAACUCGGCAAAAUGCCCCCGUAACUUCGGGAGAAGGGGGACCGGAAUAUCGUGAACACCCUUGCGGUGGGAGCGGGAUCCGGUCGCAGAAACCAGUGAGGAGCGACUGUUUACUAAAAACACAGGUCCGUGCGAAGUCGCAAGACGAUGUAUACGGACUGACGCCUGCCCGGUGCUGGAAGGUUAAGAGGACCCGUUAACCCGCAAGGGUGAAGCGGAGAAUUUAAGCCCCAGUAAACGGCGGUGGUAACUAUAACCAUCCUAAGGUAGCGAAAUUCCUUGUCGGGUAAGUUCCGACCUGCACGAAUGGCGUAACGACUUCUCAACUGUCUCAACCAUAGACUCGGCGAAAUUGCACUACGAGUAAAGAUGCUCGUUACGCGCGGCAGGACGAAAAGACCCCGGGACCUUCACUACAACUUGGUAUUGAUGUUCGGUACGGUUUGUGUAGGAUAGGUGGGAGACUGUGAAACCUCGACGCCAGUUGGGGCGGAGUCGUUGUUGAAAUACCACUCUGAUCGUAUUGGGCAUCUAACCUCGAACCCUGAAUCGGGUUUAGGGACAGUGCCUGGCGGGUAGUUUAACUGGGGCGGUUGCCUCCUAAAAUGUAACGGAGGCGCCCAAAGGUUCCCUCAACCUGGACGGCAAUCAGGUGGCGAGUGUAAAUGCACAAGGGAGCUUGACUGCGAGACUUACAAGUCAAGCAGGGACGAAAGUCGGGAUUAGUGAUCCGGCACCCCCGAGUGGAAGGGGUGUCGCUCAACGGAUAAAAGGUACCCCGGGGAUAACAGGCUGAUCUUCCCCAAGAGUCCAUAUCGACGGGAUGGUUUGGCACCUCGAUGUCGGCUCGUCGCAUCCUGGGGCUGGAGCAGGUCCCAAGGGUUGGGCUGUUCGCCCAUUAAAGCGGCACGCGAGCUGGGUUUAGAACGUCGUGAGACAGUUCGGUCUCUAUCCGCCGCGCGCGUCAGAAACUUGAGGAAACCUGUCCCUAGUACGAGAGGACCGGGACGGACGAACCUCUGGUGCACCAGUUGUCCCGCCAGGGGCACCGCUGGAUAGCCACGUUCGGUCAGGAUAACCGCUGAAAGCAUCUAAGCGGGAAACCUUCUCCAAGAUCAGGUUUCUCACCCACUUGGUGGGAUAAGGCCCCCCGCAGAACACGGGUUCAAUAGGUCAGACCUGGAAGCUCAGUAAUGGGUGUAGGGAACUGGUGCUAACCGGCCGAAAACUUACAACACCC